This 1259-nucleotide ribosomal RNA is filed under the name metagenome. Its description in RNAcentral is "bacterial SSU rRNA". It matches the Rfam family "Bacterial small subunit ribosomal RNA", at positions 152 to 1386 of the family's 1533-position model. The record is from RNAcentral.
GGAAACGGACGGUAAUCCCGGAUGGCCCCUGUAUCGGGGAUCCGACUCAGGGUAAAGAUGGGGAUCUUCGGACCUUUCGGUCGGGGAGGGGCCUAUGUCCCAUCAGCUUGUUGGUGAGGUAACGGCUCACCAAGGCAUUGACGGGUAGCCGACUGAGAGGUUGGCCGGUCACACUGGGACUGAGACACUGCCCAGACUCCUACGGGAGGCUGCAGUCGAGAAUCUUCCGCAAUGGGCGAAAGCCUGACGGAGCGACGCCGCGUGGGGGAUGAAGGCCUUCGGGUUGUAAACCCCUGUCACGAGUUAUGAAACACCAUGCGUUAAUAGCGUAUGGUUUGACGAAGGCUCGAGAGGAAGUCAUGGCUAACUCCGUGCCAGCAGCCGUGGUAAUACGGAGAUGGCAAGCGUUGCUCGGAAUCACUGGGCAUAAAGGGCGUCUAGGCGGAUCGGCAAGUCGGCUGUGAAAGUCCUCGGCUCACCCGAGGAAGUGCAUCCGAAACUGUCGGUCUUGAGGGCGAGAGGGGAGAGUGGAACUCCUGGUGGAGCGGUGAAAUGCGUAGAUAUCAGGAGGAACGCCGGUGGCGAAAGCGACUCUCUGGCUCGUCCCUACGCUGAAGCGCGAAAGCUAGGGGAGCGAACGGGAUUAGAUACCCCGGUAGUCCUAGCCGUAAACGAUGAGCACUAAGUAGUGGCGUAUCGAUGACGUCAUUGCCGCAGCUAAUGUGUUAAGUGCUCCGCCUGGGGAGUAUGGUCGCAAGGCUAAAACUCAAAGGAAUUGACGGGGGCUCACACAAGCGGUGGAGGAUGUUGCUUAAUUCGAAGCAACGCGAAGAACCUUACCUGGGCUUGACAUCACGGUGGUAAAACCCUGAAAGGGGAAUGACCCGGGGCAACCUGGGAGCCGCGACAGGUGUUGCAUGGCUGUCGUCAGCUCGUGCCGUGAGGUGUUGGGUUAAGUCCCGCAACGAGCGAAACCCUUGUCGUUAGUUGCCAGCGAGUAAUGUCGGGGACUCUAACGAGACUGCCGGUGUCAAACCGGAGGAAGGUGGGGACGACGUCAAGUCAUCAUGGCCCUUACGCCCAGGGCUGCAAACGUCCUACAAUGGCGCGUACAAAGGGAAGCGAACUCGCAAGAGUAAGCCAAUCCCAGAAAGCGCGUCCCAGUUCGGAUUGUGGGCUGAAAUUCGCCCACAUGAAGUCGGAAUCGCUAGUAAUCGCGGAUCAGCAUGCCGCGGUGAAUAUGUUCCUGAGCCUUGUAC